This 307-nucleotide ribosomal RNA is filed under the name uncultured bacterium. Its description in RNAcentral is "partial 16S ribosomal RNA". It matches the Rfam family "Bacterial small subunit ribosomal RNA", at positions 506 to 807 of the family's 1533-position model. The record is from RNAcentral.
AGACAGCAGUCGCCGCGGGAAUACGAAGGGGGCUAGCGUUGCUCGGAAUCACUGGGCGUAAAGGGUGCGUAGGCGGGUCUUUAAGUCAGGGGUGAAAUCCUGGAGCUCAACUCCAGAACUGCCUUUGAUACUGAAGAUCUUGAGUUCGGGAGAGGUGAGUGGAACUGCGAGUGUAGAGGUGAAAUUCGUAGAUAUUCGCAAGAACACCAGUGGCGAAGGCGGCUCACUGGCCCGAUACUGACGCUGAGGCACGAAAGCGUGGGGAGCAAACCGGAUUAGAUACCCGCGUAGUCCCUGUCUCUUAUAC